This 254-nucleotide ribosomal RNA is filed under the name uncultured bacterium. RNAcentral describes it as "partial 16S ribosomal RNA". It matches the Rfam family "Bacterial small subunit ribosomal RNA", at positions 524 to 776 of the family's 1533-position model. The record is from RNAcentral.
UACGUAGGGCGCAAGCGUUGUCCGGAUUUAUUGGGUUUAAAAGGGUGCGUCGGCGGAUUAGUAAGUCAGUGGUGAAAGCCCAUCGCUUAACGGUGGAACUGCCAUUGAUACUGCUAGUCUUGAGUAUGGUUGAGGUGGGCGGAAUGUGUCAUGUAGCGGUGAAAUGCUUAGAUAUGACACAGAACACCAAUUGCGAAGGCAGCUCGCUAAGCCAUAACUGACGCUGAUGCACGAAAGCGUGGGGAGCAAACAGG